Molecule: ribosomal RNA, 1371 nt
Filed under: Helicobacter pylori
Lineage: Bacteria; Pseudomonadati; Campylobacterota; Epsilonproteobacteria; Campylobacterales; Helicobacteraceae
Description: bacterial SSU rRNA
Rfam family: Bacterial small subunit ribosomal RNA
Source: RNAcentral
GCCUAAUACAUGCAAGUCGAACGAUGAAGCUUCUAGCUUGCUAGAAUGCUGAUUAGUGGCGCACGGGUGAGUAACGCAUAGGUUAUGUGCCUCUUAGUUUGGGAUAGCCAUUGGAAACGAUGAUUAAUACCAGAUACUCCCUACGGGGGAAAGAUUUAUCGCUAAGAGAUCAGCCUAUGUCCUAUCAGCUUGUUGGUAAGGUAAUGGCUUACCAAGGCUAUGACGGGUAUCCGGCCUGAGAGGGUGAACGGACACACUGGAACUGAGACACGGUCCAGACUCCUACGGGAGGCAGCAGUAGGGAAUAUUGCUCAAUGGGGGAAACCCUGAAGCAGCAACGCCGCGUGGAGGAUGAAGGUUUUAGGAUUGUAAACUCCUUUUGUUAGAGAAGAUAAUGACGGUAUCUAACGAAUAAGCACCGGCUAACUCCGUGCCAGCAGCCGCGGUAAUACGGAGGGUGCAAGCGUUACUCGGAAUCACUGGGCGUAAAGAGCGCGUAGGCGGGAUAGUCAGUCAGGUGUGAAAUCCUAUGGCUUAACCAUAGAACUGCAUUUGAAACUACUAUUCUAGAGUGUGGGAGAGGUAGGUGGAAUUCUUGGUGUAGGGGUAAAAUCCGUAGAGAUCAAGAGGAAUACUCAUUGCGAAGGCGACCUGCUGGAACAUUACUGACGCUGAUUGCGCGAAAGCGUGGGGAGCAAACAGGAUUAGAUACCCUGGUAGUCCACGCCCUAAACGAUGGAUGCUAGUUGUUGGAGGGCUUAGUCUCUCCAGUAAUGCAGCUAACGCAUUAAGCAUCCCGCCUGGGGAGUACGGUCGCAAGAUUAAAACUCAAAGGAAUAGACGGGGACCCGCACAAGCGGUGGAGCAUGUGGUUUAAUUCGAAGAUACACGAAGAACCUUACCUAGGCUUGACAUUGAGAGAAUCCGCUAGAAAUAGUGGAGUGUCUGGCUUGCCAGACCUUGAAAACAGGUGCUGCACGGCUGUCGUCAGCUCGUGUCGUGAGAUGUUGGGUUAAGUCCCGCAACGAGCGCAACCCCCUUUCUUAGUUGCUAACAGGUCAUGCUGAGAACUCUAAGGAUACUGCCUCCGUAAGGAGGAGGAAGGUGGGGACGACGUCAAGUCAUCAUGGCCCUUACGCCUAGGGCUACACACGUGCUACAAUGGGGUGCACAAAGAGAAGCAAUACUGCGAAGUGGAGCCAAUCUUCAAAACACCUCUCAGUUCGGAUUGUAGGCUGCAACUCGCCUGCAUGAAGCUGGAAUCGCUAGUAAUCGCAAAUCAGCCAUGUUGCGGUGAAUACGUUCCCGGGUCUUGUACUCACCGCCCGUCACACCAUGGGAGUUGUGUUUGCCUUAAGUCAGGAUGCUAAA